This is a long non-coding RNA of Macrobrachium nipponense, 378 nucleotides long. RefSeq lists it as uncharacterized. Lineage: Eukaryota; Metazoa; Arthropoda; Malacostraca; Decapoda; Palaemonidae. The transcript has 3 exons. The record is from RefSeq and is a predicted model, not a curated record.
AUGUAUUGAAGGCCAACUGUGACUGAAUAUCCAUUUUUAGAAUAUCUCCAGAGAAUUAAUUUAAUGAAUAUUGAAGACUGUGUUGUUAUUGCCAUAACUGUUGACAGCGAAUGGAAAAUGGGGAAGGAUAGUUGAGUAAUUAUAAGCCGAAGGAAGGAAGUGGCUUUAUGACACAGAUUCGUCAAGAUGGAAAUUCUAAUUACAGCUUUAUGAAUCGUAAACCCCAAAGUUACGGUGGCAUGAAAGUCGCUACUUAACGCUACCUGCUAUGAGAACACCCAAGGCAAAGUGGUACUAUACUACAAUCAUGCCUGGCAAACCUAACUUUAUGACAGUCAAACUUUGUGGAUUUCUUAGCUGAGAGAAAUGGCCUGCUAU